AUGGCGGACCAAAAGAAACCGACAGACCAGCACAACAAGAGGCAGCGGGUUUCCGAGAACGCCGAGAGCAGCAACAAGAAGUUCAGCAUCAAGGAGGUAGUUGGUUCGGGGGUCGCGGGGACGCGGCCGUUGGCAUCGCCGAGUCCAGUUGCCAGGGCCAAGCCAAUCGCGGUGGUGAAGCCAACGGCCGCUACGGUGGCAGUAACCGGUCCAGUGGCCACCAUGGCACCGGCAUCGGCGGAGCCCAGUCCGGUUGCCAAGGCGAAGCCAACGGCCGCUACGGUGACAGUAACCGGUCCCGUGGCCACUAUGGCACCGGCACCGGCCGCGCCCGGUCCGGUUGCCAUGAAGACGCCCACGCCGGCGGCGCCCAGUCCAGUGGUCACCAUGGCACCGGCACCGGCGCCGGCAGCGCCCAGUCCAGUGGCCACCAUGACACCGGCACAGGAGGCGCCCAGUCCGGUGGCUACACAGACUCCGGCGCCGGCGGAGCCCAGUGCAGUGUCCACGAAGAUGCCGGCGCUGGCGGCUCCCAGCCCAGUUGCUAUGGCGACGCCGGUGGCCGUGGUGAACCCACCCGCCACGGUGAAGCAUGAGCUGGAAGACGGAGGGGUGCUCGUAAUCGACGAACAAGUAGCAAGAGCCAUGGUAGCCGCGGCACCUGCGGAAGAGGAGUCCGUCAUCUUAGAGGUGAAGAAGAAAUGGCUUCACUGCGCUGCGUGUCCUGCGCCCCUCAAGCGUCCCGUAUUCAUGUGCGGGAAUGGACAUGUCGUGUGCUGCUCCUGCGGCGGCGGCGGCAAUGGCGACGGCGGAGCGAACAAGCACUGUGAUUUGUGCGGCCGCGCCACCACCUACACCCGCAUCCCCUACAUCGAUGGCCUGGUCGGCGACUACAAGGUGCAGUGCCCCUACAGGAUUUUCGGCUGCGCGAGGUCCAUCACCUACCACUCGGCCGCGGACCACCCUGCCAAGUGCGCGUACGCGCCCUGCUACUGCUUCGAGUGCGCGUUCCAGGGUUCCCCGGCAAGCCUCCUGCGCCACCUCACGGAGGAGUCCGGCCGGCAUUGUUGGCCCAUGGAAAAGAUUAAGUACGAGAUCUGCCGCCCGCUCGUCGUGCCGGGGUCGGAGCACCGCCUUCUGCUAGUGGCGGAGGAGGACGGCCGAGUGUUUCUCCUGGCCGUUGGCGCGGGGAGGGGCGCCGCCGGCGUCCGCCCCGUCAACAUCGUGUGCGUCAGGGGCAAUGUCGACGCCGACGCGAGGCCGGUGUACACAGGUGUGCUCUGGGUGGAUGGCCCUCCGGCCGCCGCAGGCCACUUCAGGAGCAGCUUCCAGCUGAAAGGCGACGUGGCGAACUGCGGAGUCCCCGGCGAGGUGGACAUGGAGCACGGGCGCCUCCAUGCGCAUGUCAAUCCGGAGAUGCUGCACGGGGAGUCUAAAGAGAUUCAUCUGCGCAUUUGCAUUACCAAGUUCUGGUGA
This 1476-nucleotide ribosomal RNA is filed under the name Triticum aestivum (bread wheat). Its description in RNAcentral is "partial small subunit ribosomal RNA". Lineage: Eukaryota; Viridiplantae; Streptophyta; Magnoliopsida; Poales; Poaceae. The record is from RNAcentral.